This is a long non-coding RNA of Mytilus californianus (California mussel), 4607 nucleotides long. RefSeq lists it as uncharacterized. Lineage: Eukaryota; Metazoa; Mollusca; Bivalvia; Mytilida; Mytilidae. The transcript is spliced from 3 exons. The record is from RefSeq and is a predicted model, not a curated record.
UUUAUACGACCGCAAAAAAAUUUUUGUGGUCGUAUAUUGGUAUGACGUUGGCGUCGUCGUCGUCGUCGUCGUCCAGCGUCGUCGUCCGAAUACACAUUAGUUUUCGCACUCUAACUUUAGUUUAAGUGAAUGGAUCUCAAUGAAAUUUUACCAUAAGGUUCAAUACCACAAAAGGAAGGUGGGGAUUGAUUUUGGGGGUUAUGGUACUAACAGUUAAGGAAUUAGGGGCCAAAAAGGGGCCAAAAAUAAGCAUUUUUGUAACUUCCAGACAUAACUUGUGUGUAAGUAUAUGGAUCUCUCUGACAUUGUACCACAAGGUUCCAUAUCACAAAGGGAAUGCUGGGAUUGAUUUUGGGGGUAAUUGCCUCCAAAUUUUAGGAAUUAGGGGCCAAAAAGGGGCAAAAAACAAGCAUUUUUCUAGUUUCAUGACAAUAACUUGUGUGUUAGUGUAUGGAUCUCUCUGACAUUGUAUCACAAGAUUCCAUAUCACAAAGGGAAUACUGGGGUUGAUUUUUGGGGGUAAUUUCCUCCAAAUUUGGGGAAUUAGGGGCCAAAAAGGGGCAAAAAACAAGCAUUUUUAUACGACCGCAAAAAAAUUUUUGUGGUCGUAUAUUGGUAUGACGUUGGCGUCGUCGUCGUCGUCGUCGUCGUCGUCCGGCGUCGUCGUCCGAAUACACAUUAGUUUUCGCACUCUAACUUUAGUUUAAGUAAAUGGAUCUCAAUGAAAUUUUACCAUAAGGUUCAAUACCACAAAAGGAAGGUGGGGAUUGAUUUUGGGGGUUAUGGUACUAACAGUUAAGGAAUUAGGGGCCAAAAGGGGCCAAAAAUAAGCAUUUUUGUAACUUCCAGACAUAACUUGUGUGUAAGUGUAUGGAUCUCUCUGACAUUGUACCACAAGGUUCAAUAUCACAAAGGGAAUGCUGGGAUUGAUUUUGGGGGUAAUUGCCUCCAAAUUUUAGGAAUUGGGGGCCAAAAAGGGGCAAAAAACAAGCAUUUUUAUACGACCAUGACAAUAUCUUGUUUGUAAGUGUAUGGAUCUUUAUGAAAUUGUACUACAAGGUUCCAUAUCACAAAAGGAAUACUGGGAUUGAUUUUUGGGGUAAUUUCCUCCAAAUUUUAGGAAUUAGGGGCCAAAAAGGGGCAAAAAACAAGCAUUUUUCUAGUUUCAUGACAAUAACUUGUUUGUAAGUAUAUGGAUCUUUAUGAAAUUGUACUACAAGGUUCCAUAUCACAAAGGGAAAGCUGGAAUUGAGUUUGGGGGUAAUUGCCCUAAACGUUUAGGAAUUUGGGGCCAAAAAGGGGCCAAAAAACAAGCAUUUUUCUAGUUUCCAGACAAUAACUUGUGUUCAAGUGUAUGAAUCUCUCUGAAAUUGUACUGCAAGGUACCAUACCACAAAGGGAAAGCUGGGAUUGAGUUUGGGGGUGAUGAAUCAUAAGGGGGUUCAAAAAAUUGGGGGGGAUUUUUUUUUCCUUUUUUUUCUUUAACAUUUUCCAUUUUAAAUUGGUUAUUUCUGAUUUAUAUAUAAAAGCAAAUAAUAAUGAUAUGGUUUGAAUAGGCAUACAUGUGAACCUCCCGACGGGAGUACAAUAAUCCCGUUUUCAGGGGUCUCCUCCCGACCUCCCGUUGAAGAGGAAAAAAUCCCGUGUAUGAAAUUUUUCAUGAAUGAAAAAUUUCUGCCCAACAUAUCAUCUCAGGCAUCUGGUGUAACUGACAUUACCUGAAGUUAUAUUUUACCUGUAAAUCAAUUAACAUGCAUAAUUAUAUGGCUUCACUUGUCAGCUUGGGUGUCAAACAUACAGGUAAUCAACGAUUUUUACCUCAGGCUAACUGCCGUUGUGUAACAAAAACUGUGUAUUUAUUGGGUUACUUCCCUUGAUUUAUCCUGUUUUAAGUUACUUUCCUUUUAAUAAUGAAAAUUUUUAAAAGAAUAUAAAUAAAAUAUAAAUUGAACAAAUAAUCAUAAAAGGAUGGUUAUUAAAUGAUUUUAAAUGUCUUAGGACAAAUAAAAAAAUAAUAAUUUGAAAAUUAUUUGAGGAUUCUAGACUUCCUUUUAAGGCUUAAAUUGAAAUUUAUAUAAUAACUAUGACCCUAAUUUUACAGAUAAAAUGAUUUUCUGAGUUUGCAAAUAAAAACUAUUUGCAAGAGAGAAAAAAAAAAUAAAAACUAUUUGCAGAUAGCUAAACAAAUGUUCUGGUUGCAAUGAUUGUUUUAUAGAAUAUGAAGUAAAAAAUUUAAAGAACAUACUGGAAAAAUACAAUGUUAGAUUGAACAUGUAGAAUAUAAAGAUGGAGAAACUUUAUAAGUACAAGGGUACUAUAAACAUAAUAAAUUGGAUGGAAAGUUGAAGAAAACACACUUUAAAAGACCAUUUUUACAGCACACGGUUACAUUUACAACAAAAUUAAUGUCGAUUAAAAACCUCCUGAUCUGAGUCCUAAUCUCCUGACCAAAAUUUCCCAAUCUCCUGAUCUGAGUUUCACAGUCCAUCACAUGUAUGAAUAGGUAAAUUAAAAAAUUAUAAGUUCUUAGACCACUUUCAUUCUGUGUCAGAAACCUAUGCUGUGUCAAAUAUUUAAUUACAAUCCAAAUUCAGUGCUGUAUCAAGCUUGAAUGUUGUGUCCAUACUUGCCCCAACUGUUCAGGGUUUGACCUCUGCGGUCGUAUCAAGCUGCGCCCCAGCGGAGCAUUUUAUUAUAACUUGCCAAAAGAAAAUAUGUUCUCCUGUGCUGUACCAAAUACUUAUUUCCUUUACUGUUAUUAAUGUAUCAGGUUGUCAACCAGUCAAUUAUUGUCUUUUAUAUCAUUUGGUAAGUCUUUUUUAAGUAACAUGUGGCACAACAGUGAUUUUCAUAAAUAUUCAAAAAUUGAAUUACUCUAGUGUUAUCUUUUCAUAUGAAUACAUAUCAAAGUCAACAAAAAUGGUUACAUAAAACAAUCACUUAAAGGAUUACAGGUCUCUUCUCAACAACUCUAAAAGGGGGGUUUUUGAUGAUACAUUAUUUUUGAUGCAUAGUACAAGAAACAAUACUGUAAACAUGUCAAUUUUCUCACAUGGGUUAUUUUCACUUAUUUUCACUUAUUUCAUGUUCACAUUAUAUGUGUGAAAAUAUCCCCUGUAGGAAUGAUUUUUAGAGAGCAAUAACCUUAGAUGUGAAGGUCAAAGUUAUAUUUGAUGUGCAAAUUAACCCCAGCUGGAAAAGUUAAUGCAUGAAAAUUGCAAAAAAUAACAAACCAUGUAAAUAUCUUCUUUUACGGUACUUUUUUAUGUUUGCCUCAACCAAAUGUUUAUGCGACACUUUUUAACAUUCUUGAGUUAUGUCCCUUUAUAAACAUAAAAAUUGCUGAAUUUUUCGUUUCCAUUCUCUAACUUUAGUUUGUCUCAACCAAAUGUUAUAAAACUUAUACACAACCGUUCUAGAGUUAUGCGUGUUUACAAAUAGAAAAAUUGCUGAAUUUUUAGUUUCUGUUCUCUACUUAAGUUAGCCUCAACCAAAUGUUAUGAGACUUACACACAAUGCUUAUUACCACAAAACUCAGAUCAAGUUCAAAUUUGGGUAGCGUCAGUUUUACCGUUCUUCAGUUAUGUCCCUUUAUAACUAUAUGAUAUGCAAGAGGGGGCAUCAUCUCUGUCCACAUGUGGACACUAUCCACAUUUAUUUUGUGAUUUAAAAAAGGCAACCUUAUAUAGAGUGCAUGACUGACCUAUCAACUAUAUAAAUUCAGUUUUUAUACGACCGCAAAAAAAUUUUGUGGUCGUAUAUUGGUAUGACGUUGGCGUCGUCGUCGUCGUAGUCGUCGUCUUCCGGCGUCGUCGUCCGAAUACAUAUUGGUUUUCGCACUCUAACUUUAGUUUAAGUGAAUGGAUCUUUUUGAAAUUUGACCAUAAGGUUAAAUACCACAAAAGGAAGGUUGGGAUUGAUUUUGGGGGUUAUGGUACCAACAGUUAAGGAAUUAGGGGCCAAAAAGGGGCCAAAAAUUAGCAUUUUCUAGUUUCCAGACAAUAACUGUGGAACGGUGUAUGGAUCUCUCUGAAAUUAUACUACAAGUUUCCAUACCACAAAGGGAUGGUUAGGAUUUGCUUUGGGGGGUUAUGGCUCAAACCGUUUAGGAAUUAGGGGCAAAAAAGGGGGAAAAACAAGGUUGUCCUGGUUAAUGGACAAAUACUUUAGUACAAAACAUAAUUUAAAGCAGUGUAAGGGAGAUAAAUCAAAUACAUCAUUGAAAUUAUCUCCCUUACACUGCUUUUAAAUUAUGUAUAAAGUAAUGGUUAAUGAACAAUAAAGAUAAUCUAAAACAGUGUAAGGGAGGUAAUCCAAAUACAACGUUUUGGUUACUUCCCUUACACUGCUUUUAAAUUAUGUUUAAAGAAAUGCAUAUUUAUAAAGGAAGACCAGUAAAGAUAUCUGCAAAUGUUUUCAUCUUUUUUUUUUACAAAAAAAUCCAUAUGAAAGAUUUGACACUAUAUUUUUAUUUUUAAUUCUAUUAUAAAAUAGAUUAAGUUAGCACUAUGGUAAAUUUAAAUGGGUAAUUAUGGUUGCCAACUCCAUUGGAAAUUUGAAUUGAGAUUAUGACCAUAUCUUGAGGGAAAGAAUUUUUUUGGGGGAAA